UUCAUACAUGCAAGUCGAACGAGAAGUUGACUUCGGUCAAUGGAAAGUGGCGGACGGGUGAGUAAAAUGUAGAGAAUCUGCCCUAGAGAGGGGGACAACAGUUGGAAACGACUGCUAAUACCGCAUAUGAGCGUACCUGCAAUGGUAUUCUUGAAAGAUUUAUCGCUCUGGGAUGAGUCUGCAUCUGAUUAGUUAGUUGGCGGUGUAAUGGACCACCAAGACGACGAUCAGUAGCUGGUUUGAGAGGAUGAUCAGCCACAAUGGGACUGAGACACGGCCCAUACUCCUACGGGAGGCAGCAGUAGGGAAUUUUGCGCAAUGGGCGAAAGCCUGACGCAGCAACGCCGCGUGAUUGAAUAAGCCCUUCGGGGUGUAAAGAUCUGUCAGUGGGGACGAAACUUGACGGUACCCACAGAGGAAGCAUCGGCUAACUCCGUGCCAGCCGCGGC
This 449-nucleotide ribosomal RNA is filed under the name uncultured bacterium. Its description in RNAcentral is "bacterial SSU rRNA". It matches the Rfam family "Bacterial small subunit ribosomal RNA", at positions 48 to 518 of the family's 1533-position model. The record is from RNAcentral.